GUACAUGAGAUUAGGGUAACGUGUAUUUACAAUGUAAACAUGGGAUUAUGACUGGUGCCGGUAUAAUGUGAAAAAGCUGAAUGACAUCGUAAUACAUUAUUCACAACUUGGAUAAUGUUUUGCAUAUGAACGUACAACGCUGGAGAACUGUUACCCAACCAGCGAGUAACCUCCAAUAAAGUCAGUUCCUUCCGGCAAGUCGCACGCCGCAGGUUUGUGUGAUUUCCUGUGUACUAUAUACACUAAAUGAUUAAUGACAACACACAGAUCAGUGACACCAACGACACAAACGAUAAACAUCAGAUUUACAGACGAUAUUCGGGAAUGAAUUUAAAUAUCUAAAUGAGGGAGAUCCUGUAAUGUAUCCGUCCGUAUCUAAGGCGUCCAUGUCUUGUGAUGGCUAUGUAUGGAUGUAAAGUAAAGGAGCGUGAAGCCUGGCGAUGUUACAGUUUUGGAUGCUAUUUAUAACACUCCACCAGGUAACGGGACAUCUUCACACACCUGACACGUGCGACACAAACAACACCCUCUACGUCAAUGGAUGUACUAUGCCGCUCGACCUUGACAUCUGGUACACGGACCAUUUCGAGAUAGCCUGCAACAUUCACGACAUAUGCUAUUUUUGUGGACAUGGAUAUAACAAGUCCCGUCAUGACUGUGAUUCUAAAUUCUUAGAGGAUAUGAACUCGGUGUGUUUGGAGCGGAUGGCGUAUUGGGAACUUCCCCUGUGUGUCCUGUUCUCCACCUCCUUCUACCUCAUUGUCAGGGCGAUAUCAGAGAGCUACUUUAUGUACGAACCCCCGGGCCAUUGUUCGGUACAUUGGGUGAAACACUGCAUCACACCUUAGUUAACAUGAACACUGACAAAAUGUGAGAAUUAGAAAUGAAGUUUAAUGUAAUUAUGUUAAAUUAAAGUCCGUUUGACAAAAUACUUGUAUGCAAUAAUAUAUUUCAAUAUUUUGUUCAGUGGACUUAUGCACACCAGAUGCAGGUGACUUAAGCAGGGAUAUGUUUGUAGGUACAGUAAAACACGAUUAUAACAAACAUGUUUAUAAUGAAUUCUCGCUAAUUACGAAGUUAUAUUCCUUCCCUAAUGAGAGGAAAAUAACAAAACUUUUAUUGAAUAUAACGAAGUUUGGUUAAUGGGAAUCCACUCCCUAACUCACUCUGUAUAAGUAAAUCGCUGCGCUGUUUGCUGUUCUUUCCAUCCAUAGCGCAUUUGAACAACAUUUUUUCAUUCAAAUGAAUAUAUUUAUAUUCACCGUGUGUAUUCUGCUUCAAAUUCGUUGUUUGUGUUUUGUCACAAUUUGUUUCAGUCUAGUUAGAUCUGGUGUUUAGUGCCAUCUCUCCACUCAGGAAUACAUGUAUGCACAUUCCAAGAACUUCCCGACCAAUUUCGUGAUAAUGCUGAAAUUGUUGGAAAAUGUUUACAGGUGUAUUUUUUACAUUUUCUUUGAAUUCAGAAUAAUAAAUGACGCUUAAAUAUA
Long non-coding RNA from Ostrea edulis (European flat oyster), 1487 nucleotides. RefSeq lists it as uncharacterized. The record is from RefSeq and is a predicted model, not a curated record. The transcript is spliced from 4 exons. Lineage: Eukaryota; Metazoa; Mollusca; Bivalvia; Ostreida; Ostreidae.